GAAACUUCUUUAUUUCGCGGAGGCUACACUGUACUAUUUCGAACACUGAAACAUCUCUUCAAGUACUCGAGCCUGUUUCGACAUCCGUACGUAUCAAUUUUCAGCCUGCUCCCUUCUCCUUCGCAAUUCUUACGACUCUUACCUUGUCUUCGAGCGUUUUCAACGACUUUCCAUCCUCUUCGUUCUUCCUUCUUUUGUCCCUGUCCCUCACCAGGCCAUUCAGGCUCUUGUAAGACAACAGACGACACAUGUCGUUGGUCAAGUCGGGCAGUCGGUUCUUGCAGUCGCCACACUGGAACUUCUGCUGCGGCAUCUCGCACGGUGGUUCUCCGGCGACGUCGCCGCGGAAGACCGAAAGCUCUCGCGACGACGAUGGACCCGGCUCCACGCUAACCUCGAAUGUUGUCCAAUGCCUCUCUCUCUCGGUCGGCGACUCGUACGCUGCCCGAUACAAU
Molecule: unclassified non-coding RNA, 455 nt
Filed under: Bombus terrestris (buff-tailed bumblebee)
Lineage: Eukaryota; Metazoa; Arthropoda; Insecta; Hymenoptera; Apidae
Description: misc RNA ENSBTSG00005036772.1
Source: RNAcentral